This 406-nucleotide ribosomal RNA is filed under the name uncultured bacterium. Its description in RNAcentral is "partial 16S ribosomal RNA". It matches the Rfam family "Bacterial small subunit ribosomal RNA", at positions 30 to 526 of the family's 1533-position model. The record is from RNAcentral.
AUUGAACGCUGGCGGCAGGCCUAACACCUGCAAUUCGAACGAUUGUCGGCCGGGUGAGUAAUUGAUGGGAAACUGCCUGAUGGAGGGGGAUAACUACUUGCACCGAUAUCUAAUACCGCCUACCAUCGCCUGUGCCCCGAGGUGAUUAGCUAGUAGGUUGGGUAAAGGCUCACCUAGGCGACGAUCCCUAGCUGAUCUGUGAGGAUGACCAGCCACAAUGGAACUUAGACACGGUCCAGACUCCGACGGGAGGCAGCAGUGGGGAAUAUUGCACAAUGGGCGAAAGCAUGAUGCAGCCAUGACGCGUGUAUGAAGAAUGCCUUCGGGUUGUAAAGUACUUUCAGAGGGGAGGCGUUACCCGCAGAAGAAGCACCGGCGAACUCCGUGCCAGCAGCCGCGGUAAUAC